RNAcentral lists this long non-coding RNA (424 nucleotides) under Capsicum annuum. RNAcentral's name for it is "long non-coding RNA (CANN_LNC003391)". The record is from RNAcentral. Lineage: Eukaryota; Viridiplantae; Streptophyta; Magnoliopsida; Solanales; Solanaceae.
AGGAAAAGGACCAACUAUACAAAUGAAUUCCUCCCAAUACCUGAUAAGGUCAGUACUAGAGCCACUACUAACAGGUACCCAGAGUACUAGACAAAAAUUCAAAAUGUACACAAUAUACAUAAGCAGUCUCGAGUGCAAAAGACUAACAAGAGUAGAUAGAGGAUGAUCAGCCUCGGACGACAGCAAGCUCACCCUGAUCUGGAUCAGUACUGGAAGGUAGGAGUCACAUCAGCGUCGACUGCUAGUACCCGGAUCUGCAUCAGAAAAAUAGAUGCAGAAGUGUAGCAUGAGUACCAAACCAACGGGUAAUCAGUAGACAUCAUCGGCCGACUGAUCUCAAUACAAAAAAGGUAUAACUACAAUGCGAAAGUGUAAUCCAAGUCAACAGUAAAGGAACAGAAAGGCUAAACAACUGUCAAGCUAC